RNAcentral lists this ribosomal RNA (508 nucleotides) under uncultured bacterium. RNAcentral describes it as "partial 16S ribosomal RNA". The record is from RNAcentral.
ACCAGACGAUGCGGUUACCGCGGCUGCUGGCACGGAGUUAGCCGGUGCUUCUUCUGUGAGUGAUGUCCUUCCUGCCGGCUAUUAACCCGCAGGCCUUCUUCCUCACUGAAAGUGCUUUACAACCCGAAGGCCUUCUUCACACACGCGGCAUGGCUGGAUCAGGGUUGCCCCCAUUGUCCAAUAUUCCCCACUGCUGCCUCCCGUAGGAGUCUGGGCCGUGUCUCAGUCCCAGUGUGGCUGAUCAUCCUCUCAGACCAGCUACGGAUCGUCGCCUUGGUGAGCCGUUACCUCACCAACCAGCUAAUCCGACAUAGGCUCAUCCGAUAGCGCGAGGCCCGAAGGUCCCCCGCUUUCCCCCGUAGGGCGUAUGCGGUAUUAGCCUGGGUUUCCCCAGGUUAUCCCCCACUACCGGGCAGAUUCCUAUGCAUUACUCACCCGUCCGCCGCUCGCCACCAGGGAGCAAGCNCCCCGUGCUGCCGCUCGACUUGCAUGUGUUAGGCCUGCCGCC